This 245-nucleotide ribosomal RNA is filed under the name uncultured bacterium. RNAcentral's name for it is "partial 16S ribosomal RNA". It matches the Rfam family "Bacterial small subunit ribosomal RNA", at positions 524 to 768 of the family's 1533-position model. The record is from RNAcentral.
UACGUAGGAGGCAAGCGUUAUCCGGAUUUAUUGGGCGUACAGAGAGUGUAGGCGGCUCGUCAAGUCGAACGUAAAAUCUUCCGGCUUAACUGGAAGGGACCAUUCGAUACUGACGGGCUGGAGUGCCGUAGAGGAAAGCGGAAUUCCCGGUGUAGUGGUGAAAUGCGUAGAUAUCGGGAGGAACACCAGUGGCGAAGGCGGCUUUCUAGGCGGCUACUGACGCUGAGGCUCGAAAGCGUGGGGAG